Molecule: ribosomal RNA, 492 nt
Filed under: uncultured bacterium
Lineage: Bacteria
Description: partial 16S ribosomal RNA
Rfam family: Bacterial small subunit ribosomal RNA
Source: RNAcentral
AGUGAACGCUGGCGGUAGGCCUAACACAUGCAAGUCGAACGGCAGCACAGUAAGAGCUUGCUCUUACGGGUGGCGAGUGGCGGACGGGUGAGGAAUACAUCGGAAUCUACUUUUUCGUGGGGGAUAACGUAGGGAAACUUACGCUAAUACCGCAUACGACCUACGGGUGAAAGCAGGGGAUCUUCGGACCUUUCGCGAUUGAAUGAGCCGAUGUCGGAUUAGCUAGUUGGCGGGGUAAAGGCCCACCAAGGCGACGAUCCGUAGCUGGUCUGAGAGGAUGAUCAGCCACACUGGAACUGAGACACGGUCCAGACUCCUACGGGAGGCAGCAGUGGGGAAUAUUGGACAAAGGGCGAAAGCCUGAUCCAGCCAUACCGCGUGGGUGAAGAAGGCCUUCGGGUUGUAAAGCCCUUUUGUUGGGAAAGAAAAGCAGCAGGUUAAUACCCCGCUGUUCUGACGGUACCCAAAGAAUAAGCACCGGCUAACUUCGUG